UCGAGAAUCUUCGGCAAUGGGCGAAAGCCUGACCGAGCGACGCCGCGUGCGGGAUGAAGGCCCUCGGGUUGUAAACCGCUGUCAGUGGGGAGGAAGGCUCUGUGAAGAGCAGGGUUUGACCUAUCCGCAGAGGAAGUCCGGGCUAAGUUCGUGCCAGCAGCCGCGGUAACACGAACCGGACAAACGUUAUUCGGAAUCACUGGGCUUAAAGGGUGCGUAGGCGGCCUGACAAGUUGGGUGUGAAAGCCCUCGGCUUAACCGAGGAAUUGCGCUCAAAACUGUUGGGCUUGAGGGAGUUAGGGGUGAGCGGAACUUAGGGUGGAGCGGUGAAAUGCGUUGAUAUCCUAAGGAACACCAGUGGCGAAAGCGGCUCACUGGAGCUCUUCUGACGCUGAGGCACGAAAGCUAGGGGAGCGAACG
This 420-nucleotide ribosomal RNA is filed under the name uncultured prokaryote. RNAcentral describes it as "bacterial SSU rRNA". It matches the Rfam family "Bacterial small subunit ribosomal RNA", at positions 355 to 774 of the family's 1533-position model. The record is from RNAcentral.